RNAcentral lists this ribosomal RNA (253 nucleotides) under uncultured bacterium. Its description in RNAcentral is "partial 16S ribosomal RNA". It matches the Rfam family "Bacterial small subunit ribosomal RNA", at positions 524 to 776 of the family's 1533-position model. The record is from RNAcentral.
UACGUAGGGUGCAAGCGUUGUCCGGAAUUAUUGGGCGUAAAGAGCUCGUAGGCGGUCUGUCGCGUCUGCUGUGAAAACUCGGGGCUCAACUCCGAGCUUGCAGUGGGUACGGGCAGACUAGAGUGCGGUAGGGGAGACUGGAAUUCCUGGUGUAGCGGUGGAAUGCGCAGAUAUCAGGAGGAACACCGGUGGCGAAGGCGGGUCUCUGGGCCGAUACUGACGCUGAGGAGCGAAAGCGUGGGGAGCGAACAGG